UCCAGCUGUGAGCUCAUCCACUCCUUUAAAAACCAUCUCACGUACUAAUUCUGUCUAUUCCUUCUUAAAAGACUCACUGCCUGAUGGUGGCAACGGUCUGACGGAAUCUACUGACUUACCGUGUGUGAACCAUUGUUUUAAUCAUGAAACAAUUUGAGAUAACUUCAUCACAAGAUGUAACCAACAAAACCUUCAACAAUAGAAGCUGUGUUAUCCUUCCAGAUGGGCUACUUGGAGAGCUAAACUACAACAUAUUGCUUCUCCACUUCCAUGGGUAGGAGACACCAGGCUUCACGGCACCAUUACAACAUUAUCUGUCAAGUUCAAAUAGCAAACAUUGUCUUCAGAACAGUGAAACAUCCAUUUGGACUUACCUUCAGAUCCAGAAACGUUUUCAAAGUUUGAAGAAGUAAUAGGAAAAAGCAACAAGCGAAGUAGUCAUUUCAUUAAAGGAUCUUCUCUGAUAUCUCAGGCACACUUACUCCAAUUAGGGACUAUACUCAGUUAUUUAGUCUCCCAAGAGGAGCAUCUGAGUACAUAUUCCCUUAAAUCUAACAAUAACUAAAUAAAGCUCUGGGUCUAGGACAUACAUUUAUCCUUUGAUCUUCACCAGAUAGCCCUAGCAACUAGCUGCCCUUCAUAUGCCCACAUCUGUAAGAACUAUGUUAGGGUUGUAACUAUGCCAGGAAAAAUCAUCACAUCUAAACUUUGCCUUGGUGUGGACUUUAUGGAAGCUCAAACUUGAACAGGACAGAUAAUGAGUUGGGGGAUUGUUUACAUUGUUAUGAGUUUCUGCUGUGAAUGGUGUGACAAUGGGCUGCCAAAGCUCAGUGUGGAUCAUGGUUAGGAAAGUAUGUGUAACUUUCCUGGGAAAAUUUUCAACACCAUUCCUAACUGAUACACUAGGUUUACUAUGGUAAUGUCACAAUAUUAUAUCUCAAUAAAUUUUGAAAUGAUGUAUUAUAA
Rhincodon typus (whale shark) is the source of this 966-nucleotide long non-coding RNA. RefSeq lists it as uncharacterized. The transcript is spliced from 3 exons. Lineage: Eukaryota; Metazoa; Chordata; Chondrichthyes; Orectolobiformes; Rhincodontidae. The record is from RefSeq and is a predicted model, not a curated record.